This 321-nucleotide unclassified non-coding RNA is filed under the name Hevea brasiliensis (rubber tree). The record is from RNAcentral. Lineage: Eukaryota; Viridiplantae; Streptophyta; Magnoliopsida; Malpighiales; Euphorbiaceae.
UUUUGGUUGCAUCAGUUUGCUCAUCUUCAUCACUCUCAUUAUCACUUCCAACUAUAUCGAUGCACUCAUCUUCCCCACUCUCAUUAUCACUUUCAGCUGUAUUAGUAUGCUCAUCUUCAUCACUCUCGUUAUCACCUUCAGCUGCAAGUUCUUCUUUCUCAAGUUCAUCUAACCUGGACAUUAUAUGAGCAUAUUCAUCGUCUUCAACUCUAACUUUCUUGUCAACUUUCUCUGAUUUAGAUUGUUCUUCAGUAUAACUUUUCUCCACAUAAUCUUCUCUUAUCUCCACAAGGCCUUCCGCAGCCUCAGCAGCUGUGGAAC